Molecule: ribosomal RNA, 430 nt
Filed under: bacterium
Lineage: Bacteria
Description: partial 16S ribosomal RNA
Rfam family: Bacterial small subunit ribosomal RNA
Source: RNAcentral
UAGGGAAUCUUCCGCAAUGGACGAAAGUCUGACGGAGCAACGCCGCGUGAGCGAAGAAGGUCUUAGGAUCGUAAAGCUCUGUUGUCAGGGAAGAACAAGUGCCGUUCGAACAGGGCGGUACCUUGACGGUACCUGACGAGGAAGCCACGGCUAACUACGUGCCAGCAGCCGCGGUAAUACGUAGGUGGCAAGCGUUGUCCGGAAUUAUUGGGCGUAAAGCGCGCGCAGGCGGUUCCUUAAGUCUGAUGUGAAAUCUCGCGGCUCAACCGCGAGCGGCCAUUGGAAACUGGGGAACUUGAGUGCAGGAGAGGGGAGCGGAAUUCCACGUGUAGCGGUGAAAUGCGUAGAGAUGUGGAGGAACACCAGUGGCGAAGGCGGCUCUCUGGCCUGUAACUGACGCAGAGGCGCGAAAGCGUGGGGAGCGAACAGG